CCCUUAGAUGUUCUGGGCUGCACGCGCGCUACACUGAUGCGUUCAACAAGUGUUAACCUUGCCCGAUAGGGUUGGGUAAUCUUUUGAAAGCGCAUCGUGAUGGGGAUCGAUGACUGCAAUUGUUCAUCUUCAACGAGGAAUUCCUAGUAAGCGCAAGUCAUCAGCUUGCACUGAUUACGUCCCUGCCCUUUGUACACACCGCCCGUCGCUCCUACCGAUUGAGCGAUCCGGUGAAUAGUUCGGAUCGUGCAGGUUGCCUUCGGGUGCUUGUAUGAGAAGUUCAGUAAACCUUAUCACUUAGAGGAAGGAGAAGUCGUAACA
RNAcentral lists this ribosomal RNA (321 nucleotides) under uncultured eukaryote. RNAcentral's name for it is "partial 18S ribosomal RNA". It matches the Rfam family "Eukaryotic small subunit ribosomal RNA", at positions 1470 to 1796 of the family's 1831-position model. The record is from RNAcentral.